AGUGAACGCUGGCGGUAGGCCUAACACAUGCAAGUCGAACGGCAGCACAGUAAGAGCUUGCUCUUACGGGUGGCGAGUGGCGGACGGGUGAGGAAUACAUCGGAAUCUACUUUUUCGUGGGGGAUAACGUAGGGAAACUUACGCUAAUACCGCAUACGACCUACGGGUGAAAGCAGGGGAUCUUCGGACCUUGCGCGAUUGAAUGAGCCGAUGUCGGAUUAGCUAGUUGGCGGGGUAAAGGCCCACCAAGGCGACGAUCCGUAGCUGGUCUGAGAGGAUGAUCAGCCACACUGGAACUGAGACACGGUCCAGACUCCUACGGGAGGCAGCAGUGGGGAAUAUUGGACAAGGGGCGCAAGCCUGAUCCAGCCAUACCGCGUGGGUGAAGAGGGCCUUCGGGUUGUAAAGCCCUUUUGUUGGGAAAGAAAAGCAGCAGGUUAAUACCCCGCUGUUCUGACGGUACCCAAAGAAUAAGCACCGGCUAACUUCGUG
Molecule: ribosomal RNA, 492 nt
Filed under: uncultured bacterium
Lineage: Bacteria
Description: partial 16S ribosomal RNA
Rfam family: Bacterial small subunit ribosomal RNA
Source: RNAcentral